GAGAAUGCCGGUGUGAGUAGCGAAAGACGGGUGAGAAUCCCGUCCACCGAUUGACUAAGGUUUCCAGAGGAAGGCUCGUCCGCUCUGGGUUAGUCGGGUCCUAAGCUGAGGCCGACAGGCGUAGGCGAUGGAUAACAGGUUGAUAUUCCUGUACCACCUAUAAUCGUUUUAAUCGAUGGGGGGACGCAGUAGGAUAGGCGAAGCGUGCGAUUGGAUUGCACGUCUAAGCAGUAAGGCUGAGUAUUAGGCAAAUCCGGUACUCGUUAAGGCUGAGCUGUGAUGGGGAGAAGACAUUGUGUCUUCGAGUCGUUGAUUUCACACUGCCGAGAAAAGCCUCUAGAUAGAAAAUAGGUGCCCGUACCGCAAACCGACACAGGUAGUCAAGAUGAGAAUUCUAAGGUGAGCGAGCGAACUCUCGUUAAGGAACUCGGCAAAAUGACCCCGUAACUUCGGGAGAAGGGGUGCUCUUUAGGGUUAACGCCCAGAAGAGCCGCAGUGAAUAGGCCCAAGCGACUGUUUAUCAAAAACACAGGUCUCUGCUAAACCGUAAGGUGAUGUAUAGGGGCUGACGCCUGCCCGGUGCUGGAAGGUUAAGAGGAGUGGUUAGCUUCUGCGAAGCUACGAAUCGAAGCCCCAGUAAACGGCGGCCGUAACUAUAACGGUCCUAAGGUAGCGAAAUUCCUUGUCGGGUAAGUUCCGACCCGCACGAAAGGCGUAACGAUUUGGGCACUGUCUCAACGAGAGACUCGGUGAAAUCAUAGUACCUGUGAAGAUGCAGGUUACCCGCGACAGGACGGAAAGACCCCGUGGAGCUUUACUGUAGCCUGAUAUUGAAAUUCGGCACAGCUUGUACAGGAUAGGUAGGAGCCUUUGAAACGUGAGCGCUAGCUUACGUGG
RNAcentral lists this ribosomal RNA (897 nucleotides) under Staphylococcus aureus. RNAcentral's name for it is "partial 23S ribosomal RNA". It matches the Rfam family "Bacterial large subunit ribosomal RNA", at positions 1290 to 2183 of the family's 2925-position model. Lineage: Bacteria; Bacillati; Bacillota; Bacilli; Caryophanales; Staphylococcaceae. The record is from RNAcentral.